GACGAACGCUGGCGGCGUGCUUAAUACAUGCAAGUCGAACGGAGCCUAGCCGGUAGUUUACUACAGGCGAAAGCUUAGUGGCGGACGGGUGAGUAACGCGUGGGCAAUCUGCCCCUAAGUCCGGGAUAACAGAGCGAAAGUUCUGCUAAGACCGGAUACUCUUCCUUGGUCGCAUGGCGGAGGAAGGAAAGGAUACGCUUAGGGAUGAGCCCGCGUCCCAUUAGCUAGUUGGUGAGGUAACGGCCCACCAAGGCGACGAUGGGUAGCCGGCCUGAGAGGGUGGACGGCCACACUGGGACUGAGACACGGCCCAGACUCCUACGGGAGGCAGCAGUAGGGAAUUUUCCGCAAUGGGGAAACCCUGACGGAGCAACGCCGCGUGAGGGAAGAAGGUCUUCGGAUCGGUAAACCUUUGUCAUCGAGGACGAUAAUGACGGUACUCGAGGAGGAAGCCCCGGCUAACUACGUG
Molecule: ribosomal RNA, 469 nt
Filed under: uncultured bacterium
Lineage: Bacteria
Description: bacterial SSU rRNA
Rfam family: Bacterial small subunit ribosomal RNA
Source: RNAcentral